RNAcentral lists this ribosomal RNA (274 nucleotides) under uncultured bacterium. Its description in RNAcentral is "partial 16S ribosomal RNA". It matches the Rfam family "Bacterial small subunit ribosomal RNA", at positions 523 to 796 of the family's 1533-position model. The record is from RNAcentral.
AUACGAAGGGCCCGAGCGUUAAUCGGAAUCACUGGGCUUAAAGCGUACGUAGGCGGACUCGCAGGCACCUUGUGAAAUCCCUCGGCUCAACCGAGGAACUGCUUGGUGAACCGCGCGUCUUGAGGCAAGUAGGGGCUGUCGGAACGAUAGGUGGAGCGGUGAAAUGCGUUGAUAUCUAUCGGAACGCCGAAGGCGAAGGCAGACAGCUGGGCUUGUUCUGACGCUGAUGUACGAAAGCGUGGGGAGCGAACGGGAUUAGAAACCCCAGUAGUCC